CAGUCGCCACGGUAAUACAGAGGGUGCGAGCGUUAAUCGGAUUUACUGGGCGUAAAGCGUGCGUAGGCGGCUUCUUAAGUCGGAUGUGAAAUCCCUGAGCUUAACUUAGGAAUUGCAUUCGAUAAUGGGAAGCUAGAGUAUGGGAGAGGAUGGUAGAAUUCCAGGUGUAGCGGUGAAAUGCGUAGAGAUCUGGAGGAAUACCGAUGGCGAAGGCAGCCAUCUGGCCUAAUACUGACGCUGAGGUACGAAAGCAUGGGGAGCAAACAGGAUUAGAUACCCCCGUAGUCCCUGUCUCUUAUAC
RNAcentral lists this ribosomal RNA (301 nucleotides) under uncultured bacterium. Its description in RNAcentral is "partial 16S ribosomal RNA". It matches the Rfam family "Bacterial small subunit ribosomal RNA", at positions 509 to 807 of the family's 1533-position model. The record is from RNAcentral.